This is a non-coding RNA of Delphinapterus leucas (beluga whale), 2495 nucleotides long. NCBI's taxonomy places the organism in Eukaryota, Metazoa, Chordata, Mammalia, Artiodactyla, Monodontidae. The record is from RefSeq and is a predicted model, not a curated record.
AGCCAAGCACACCAGUGUCUGGGGCUGCGGGACACUGGAAAGAAAGGAUCCAGGGUAAACAUGACUUCCAAGCUGACCAUAGCUCUAUUGCUUUCUUGGCAGUUCCAUGCUUUCUGCAGCACCGUGUGAAGAAAAUUGUGAAGAAAUCCUGUUGGCACCAUUUCAGUUCACCGCUGAACUCAAAGGACCGUGAUUUCAGUAACAAAGGAAUAUCUAAACCAGGUAAAUAAUUGAUCCUCCAAAUCUUUUUUUUAAAGCUCAUUCACAAAGACCUGUAUCUCUGCCUAGAUCUUCAGCAAAAGUGGGUGCAGACAGGUAUACAGAUAGUUUUGAGGAGAGCAAGAGGGGGUCAGCACUAGGGGCAGCCCAGCAUUGCUUGGAAGACUGCAGCCUGGAAUUUAGUAAGGUGUUGUGAGUAUACACUUUAGCCAAAAAUACAGAAAAUUAUAUUUUUUGAGUGAGCUUAUAGACUUUUCAAAGUAACUGAGAGACACUUGACUUGAUGUGCGCACUCUACUACAUAUUUGAUUUUUAUCUCAGGAAAAGAAGCAGAAAUAAGAUAAAAUUGUUGAACUUAGUAAUCUACAGACGUCUUUCCUGCAUCUGUCUUUGUGGGGACCAAACUCGACGGGGAAAACUGGGAUGAGUUGAUAGGGAGUUUUGUUGCCUUCGUACUAACCUGGACAUAUUAAUCUGAGACGAGGCCUUGGGUGCUGGUAGUUCAUCUAUGAAGGGAUCCAGGACACCAGAAUAAGGAAGUAGAGAAGUGGAACAGGGAAUGGUAGAAAGCCAGUGUAAAUGCACUGGAGCUCCAAACUGAGUUCACUUGGUCAACUGAGUCUUAUUGGAAUAAGCUACACUCCCCAUGACUGCCCCUGGUCCUAGAAGGAGGCCUCUGCCACAGGGAGAAUUCUCAGCAUUGUGUGACAAUGUAAGGAAUGCCAACAGAAAGAAUAACUACAUGAUCGAGAACAGGUGAUGAAUAUUCUUCCAAAAGAAGCCUUUGCAGAAUAUAUGACCUCUCUUUAAGCUUCUGCCUGGCUAAGACGCUACACCAUAUUUUUCUUCACAGAAUAGAUGUACACAUCUUCCUUCCAGAGUAUGUCAUUAACCUACCUUUGACUUACCCUCGGUAUUUUACUUUUUUCUUCUCCUUAUUUAUUAGUAGUUGGAUUUGUAUUUUUAGAUUGCCAGGAAACUGGUGCUUAUAUUCAAUAUGAUAUUGUCUUUAUUAAUAUACUUAUAAACUUAACAGUCAACUUGACUUGCCACCAGUCAUGUCCUAUAAGUCAUAAUCCUUUGCUCAAAUGUGUAGGACUGUCUAAUUCCAUUAUCUCUGAGCGUUCACUUUAGAAAGUGAAACUGAUGCUCUAUAAUGUGUACUAUUCCUUCCUACCUACUUAGCUUCUUCUUUUGAAGUUCUCAGGAGGGUAAUGCAUUCAUUUUGGAGCAUUCUAACAUACACUGUGUAACAGAUAUGUUAUAUAAUAUCACUCCCAGCAGCCUCAAUCUUUCUAUUAUAGUGUUGAAAUCAAUAUUUGACUAACAUUUAUUUAAAAGUUAUGUAAGGCCCUUAAAACAGUUAAAGAGAUAAAAACAUUAAUGGUUUCUGCAAAUAGCAAUCAAAAUUGCUCUCUAAAAAAGGUUGCAUGAUUAUUUCCAAGGACGUGUUUAUUAGUAACCAUUAGCAUAGGUAGUUGCAUCUUUAAAUAAGUGUCAUCUUGUAUUACUGGAGAGUAAAAUUUAAAGGAAAUUAUGGGCUUUUCAAACUACUCCAUGUCCCUGUUGGAAUAUAAAAACACAUUCCUGAACAACCAUAGCAUUUCCAUAAGCCAAUAAAAUGAUGACUCAGAAGGUGAAAUACUCUAGACCACAAACCACUUACAUAUGAAUAUUUUAAAAUUAUGUAAAAGUCCCAUUUUAAAAGCAUUCAUAUAAUCAAGAAAAUAAAUGUAUUGUGCAAAAGUCAUUUAACCCCUGACUCUUCCCUGAAAUGUCUGAAGGCAAUUCAUUGAUUUCAUGAAAUACUGUUCUAAAGGAGAUUUUUAGUUUUCCGACAGAUUUAUUAUAAUGACUUUAAACAUUCUUUGGGGUUCACUUUCUUUGAUGUCUUAAUGCAGAAAAGAAUUAUAUAUAAGGACUUUUUUGCUAGUAUGCAUUCUAUUACACUGCUUGCAGUUCUCUGAUGAGCAAAUCCUAGUGUAUCUCACUUCAGCCAUGUUAGUGGCCACUUAACAAGUCUCUGAAGAUUGUAGCCUGGUCCCCGGUUAUUUCUAUGGAUGACAAACAUACACUUAGUUCAUUCUUUUGUAGCCACCGAAAUCUUAAAUAAAAUUAAUUUCUGCACUGAACACGGUACUGAUUUUCAUCCAUGGAGGAAGAUAGAUUCACUUUAGAAUAUAUAUAUUUUAUGUUUUCCAUAAACCAGGCAAAAACUGGGAAUACAAAGAUCUGGUUUUUGUCCUUGAAGAGUUCACAGUCUAGAGAGAGAGAAA